RNAcentral lists this ribosomal RNA (612 nucleotides) under Triticum aestivum (bread wheat). RNAcentral describes it as "partial small subunit ribosomal RNA". The record is from RNAcentral. Lineage: Eukaryota; Viridiplantae; Streptophyta; Magnoliopsida; Poales; Poaceae.
AUGGAGGAAUGCAAGACGGUGUUCAUCUGUACCGCGGUUGCGGCUCAAGGGACACAUGUGUUUGAUAUCAUGGGUUACAGCAAGCACAGGGGCAUGGGCAAUGACGAAGACAGCCACAUACUGUCUGGAAUUUUCGCUGUAGGCGGGUACGACUGGGCCAUCCGCUUCUAUCCCGAUGGGCACGGCAGUGCAUGCCCUGAUCACGUCACAGUUUUUCUCGAGCUUUUGAGCGAUAGCGCAAAAGUCCGGGCGUCCUGCGACCUGAGAACAGGGCCUAGGAUUUUCAACUCCGAUGAUGUCACUAAGUUUGCUCCACAAUUUGCUAAUUUCAAAAGGCGAAGCGAGAUCGAGGAAUCCGCAUACCUUCGGGAUGAUCGCCUGACGAUCGAAUGUAUCAUCAUUGUUUUCAAGAAGCCGCAUGUUACCCAAGCCAAUUCGCUCCCCAAAAUCCCCAAAAUCGACAUGCCACCAUCUGACAUGACCGAGAAUGUUGGCAGGCUGCUGGAAGAAAGGGAGGGAUUUGAUGUCCGUUUCAUUGUUGGAGGAGAGACCAUUGAAGCGCAUAGGCUCGUUCUCGCUAUGUGGUCGCCUGUUCUUAAGGCGGAGCUCUAG